This 476-nucleotide ribosomal RNA is filed under the name uncultured bacterium. RNAcentral's name for it is "SSU rRNA". It matches the Rfam family "Bacterial small subunit ribosomal RNA", at positions 26 to 521 of the family's 1533-position model. The record is from RNAcentral.
AGGAUGAACGCUGGCGGCGUGCCUAACACAUGCAAGUCGAACGUCCUGUCUCGCAAGAGGCAGGGAGUGGCGGACGGGUGAGUACCACGUGGGUCAUCUACCGUGAGGUGAGGAAUACCGGCGAGAAAUCGCCGACAAGACCGCAUAGGCUCGAUGCAAGUCGAGCAAAGCUCUUUCGAGAGAGGGAGCGCCACACGAGGAGCCUGCGCCCGAUUAGCUAGCUGGUGGAGUAACGGUUCACUAGGGCGACGAUCGGUAGCUGGUCUGAGAGGACGAUCAGCCACACUGGGAUUGAGAACGGCCCAGACUCCUACGGGGGGCAGCAGUGAGGAAUUUUCGUCAAUGGGGGCAACCCUGAACGAGCAACGCCGCGUGCAGGAAGAAGGUUUUCGGAUCGUAAACUGCUUUUCUGUGGGAAGAGAACGGACGGUACCACAGGAAGAAGCCCCGGCUAACUACGCGCCAGCAGCCGCGGU